AUUGUUGGUGGUCGGCGGGGUAGAGGGAGGCCUAGGAAGCAUUGGGGAGAGGUGAUUAGGCAGGGCAUGACUAGUAUGCAGGUUACCGAGGACUUGACCCUUGAUAGGGGAGUCUGGAGGUCUAGAAUCAGGGUUGCAGGCUAGGGGCUCUUAGAGUACUUCGUUCGCCCCACCCGGAGUUGGGUGUGGGAUAGUAGGGUUAACCGUAGAUGACUAGUGUUUUAGCGUAGGUCCCCUCUUGGUUGGUAAUAUGAUAGUUGUCGCUUGUUAUUGUCGCAUGCGACGGUAUUUUUGUUUCUUAUGUUUACAUAAUCAUUUUCGUUAUUUCUGCAGGAUUUCUUAUGCUUUCUUUUGUUAUUGUGUUUUGUCUUGUCCUGGUUCCUAACUUUAUCUUUGUUUUCCAAUGCAGCUUUUCAUUCUGUCCUAUGCGCCGAGGGUCACUUGGAAGCAGCCUCUUUGCCCUUUUGGGUAGGUGUAAGGCUGUCUACAUAUUACCUUCCACAGACCCCACAUGGUGGGAGUAUACUGGGUAGUUGUUGUUGUUGUUGUUGUUGUAACAUGACUGUUAUUACAAAAAGGCAAAAACUACAAAGGCAGUCCCCACGCAUAUUCCAAACUAAAGCAUUGCCAUGGCUAAUAUGAAAGCAACCGUGACGAUAGUAAAAAAAAAAAAAAGAAACCCGUCCACAAUUGCACUUGAAUUGUAAACAACUCAAGCAUGCUGAGAUUA
Molecule: long non-coding RNA, 730 nt
Filed under: Nicotiana benthamiana
Lineage: Eukaryota; Viridiplantae; Streptophyta; Magnoliopsida; Solanales; Solanaceae
Description: long non-coding RNA (NBEN_LNC005887)
Source: RNAcentral